RNAcentral lists this ribosomal RNA (442 nucleotides) under uncultured bacterium. RNAcentral's name for it is "partial 16S ribosomal RNA". It matches the Rfam family "Bacterial small subunit ribosomal RNA", at positions 338 to 795 of the family's 1533-position model. The record is from RNAcentral.
CCUACGGGUGGCAGCAGUGGGGGAUAUUGGACAAUGGGGGAAACCCUGAUCCAGCGACGCCGCGUGAGUGAAGAAGUAUUUCGGUAUGUAAACUUUCUUUGACAGGGAAGAGCAGAAGAUGGUACCUGUCGAAUAAGCCAUGGCUAACUACGUGCCAGCAGCGGCGGCAAUACGUAGGGCGCCAGCGUUGUCCGGAUUUACGGGGUGUAAAGGGUGUGUAGCUGGGCUGAGAAGGCAGAUGUGAAAUCCGGGGGCUCAACCCCCGAACUGCAGUUGAAACUGUUGGUCUUGAGUAUCGGAGAGGCAGGCGGAAUUCCUAGUGUAGCGGUGAAAUGCGUAGAUAUUAGGAGGAACACCGGUGGCGAAGGCGGCCUGCUGGACGACAACUGACGGUGAGGCGCGAAAGCGUGGGGAGCAAACAGGAUUAGAUACCCGAGUAGUC